Molecule: ribosomal RNA, 450 nt
Filed under: uncultured bacterium
Lineage: Bacteria
Description: partial 16S ribosomal RNA
Rfam family: Bacterial small subunit ribosomal RNA
Source: RNAcentral
CCUACGGGGGGCAGCAGUGGGGAAUUUUGCGCAAUGGGCGAAAGCCUGACGCAGCAACGCCGCGUGGGUGAUGAAGGUCUUCGGAUCGUAAAACCCUGUCGUUGGGGACGAAGGUGGGGGCGUUAAUAGCGUUUCUGCUUGACGGUACCCGGAGAGGAAGCCCCGGCUAACUCUGUGCCAGCAGCCGCGGUAAUACCGAGGGGGCAAGCGUGGUUCGGAAUUAUUGGGCGUAAAGGGCGCGUAGGGGGGUGUAAUCCCCGAGCUCAACGUGGGAACUGCAGCUGAGACUGGAAGGCUAGAGUACUGGAGAGGGUGGUGGAAUGCCUCGUGUAGCGGUGAAAUGCGUAGAGAUGAGGAGGAACACCAGUGGCGAAGGCGGCCACCUGGACAGUAACUGACGCUGAGGCGCGAAAGGGUGGGUAGCAAACAGGAGUAGAUACCCGAGUAGUC